AACGAACGCUGGCGGCAUGCCUAACACAUGCAAGUCGAACGAGACCUUCGGGUCUAGUGGCGCACGGGUGCGUAACGCGUGGGAACCUGCCCUUAGGUUCGGAAUAACUCCCCGAAAGGGGUGCUAAUACCGGAUAAUGUCUUCGGACCAAAGAUUUAUCGCCUUUGGAUGGGCCCGCGUUGGAUUAGCUAGUUGGUAGGGUAAAAGCCUACCAAGGCGACGAUCCAUAGCUGGUCUGAGAGGAUGAUCCGCCACACUGGGACUGAGACACGGCCCAGAAUCCUACGGGAGGCAGCAGUGGGGAAUAUUGGACAAUGGGCGAAAGCCUGAUCCAGCAAUGCCGCGUGAGUGAUGAAGGCCUUAGGGUUGUAAAGCUCUUUUACCCGGGAUGAUAAUGACAGUACCGGGAGAAUAAGCUCCGGCUAACUCCGUG
This 433-nucleotide ribosomal RNA is filed under the name uncultured bacterium. Its description in RNAcentral is "partial 16S ribosomal RNA". It matches the Rfam family "Bacterial small subunit ribosomal RNA", at positions 29 to 507 of the family's 1533-position model. The record is from RNAcentral.